Molecule: long non-coding RNA, 441 nt
Organism: Cucumis sativus (cucumber)
Lineage: Eukaryota; Viridiplantae; Streptophyta; Magnoliopsida; Cucurbitales; Cucurbitaceae
Exons: 2
Source: RefSeq, a predicted model, not a curated record
UAUUAAAAAGAGAGAGAGAAAGAAUUAAGAAGAGAUAUGGGAUUAAGGGCAGGUCGUUUAUGUUUGUUGUUGAUGUUCAUGGUAAUGAUAGUACUGUAUUUGCCAAUUUCAGGGAAAGGUGAUGGGGAAAUGAAAACAAUAAUGAGAGGCAAAAGGUGUUUGACAGUGAAGAUAAAUGAUUAUGAUGAUCCAUCUCCAAAUGAAGGCCACAAUCCAUUUAAGUCUAAACCAAAAAAGCCACUUAAGGGUAAUAGAAAAGGGAAGCCUAACAAAAUUCAUAGUUAAUAUAUUUUAAGAAGUUUAUUUGGUUGUAAUUGAAGUCAUUUGAAUUUCAUUUAUACGGUUUGUGAAUUGGAUAUUGGUCACUAAUAGUUUAAAGGCUUUAUAUUUUUUACCAAAGUAUGCAAUAAUAUUUUCAAUCAAGUUUGCAUUUAACGAUAA